This is a non-coding RNA of Phalacrocorax carbo (great cormorant), 2628 nucleotides long. NCBI's taxonomy places the organism in Eukaryota, Metazoa, Chordata, Aves, Suliformes, Phalacrocoracidae. The record is from RefSeq and is a predicted model, not a curated record.
GCGGGGCGGCGCGGGGCGGCGGGCGGAGAGCGGAGAGUUGUUAGCAGCCGCUUCUCGCUCCUUUCCGAGCCUUGGUCCCGCCGCUGGGGCUUGCCCGUGUGUCUGCGUCAUUCGCGUGACAUCGGCCUGGGCCAUGACGUCACCUCUGGAGGCGUGAAGGUCAGCGCAGCAGCCGUGACGGCGCUGCCCCGGGCGGCAAGGUGGCCGCUUACGCUGGUGCCUCGCCUCGCCUCGCCUCGCUUCGCCUCGUCUCCCUGAGACACGGCGGCGGCGCUCGCCCGGCCCGGGGCCGCAGCCCCGCGGCCUCCCUGCUCCCCUGCGGGAGGCGGGGGCUCCCUCCGCCGGCCGGGGCCCCGUUGGCCGGGGCUCUCCGGGCGCACUCGGCCCUGCCGUGGGGGCACCACCGACGCCUUGUGAUGGCGCACGCCUUCUAAACCACCACUGCCUCGGCCGCACCCGCGGGCUGGAGUGUCGCUGCCGGUGUUGGCAGCCUGUCCUAGCAAAUCCCAGCCUCGUGCCAGCCCCACGGGCUGUACGUGCGUGCGCCUGGAUGCGAUGUCACAUCAGUGUCCUGUGGAUCGACGUAUGGACCAGAGAUCGAGAAGGAACGCAUGAGAUUACAGGGGAGUCUUAACAAUUUAAUGACAGACAUACUUGCAUCACCCAACAAAAUAAAAUCCUACUCAGUGGUUCUUCACAUGCUCCUCCUGCAGGCUGUCUCACUCGGAGAGCUGAAGCAAGCUGAGCCUGCCUCCGUGUCAAAUUUUCAGAAGUAACUCCCGUGUGAGCAUCCCAGAAAUGGCAGGUAUCCAGUGGGUUCCUGACACCUUUGACCAACACUUUCUCUUCAAUCAAUUAUAUCCUUAAUUUAAUGGCUCCCGACAAUAAACUACUUUGGAACCCCUUUCUCAAUGGGUAGAAAUACAUGCUGUUUUUGAAAGUGUUAGGCUAUCAGCCGUGCCAGGAAAUGCUCUGGCAAACAAAAAUUAUGUCCACAGAUAGAGUGUGACAAAAAAUUUGCUUCAAGCCACAAGUCAGAGGCUUAACCAUUGUUUGUGUCAGGUUACUUUACAGCUUGUGAUUUGGGUUAGUUGGGUGGGAAUGUGGCUGUGAAGCAGGGUUCUUUGUUUGAGACACAGGCCCCUGCUUUAGCCAGCUUAUAGAGCCAUACGUAAAAUGGCCUCUUUGCUUUCACUUAUCAGGAUGCCGUUCACCUUUCUGCUCUGCUGAGCACCAUUUCAUGACUUCACAGCCCAGGAAUUAAACCCAACACACAAAGCAGCUUUACCGGUAAUUGUCUCCAGAUUAAAUUAAAUGCCUGUUCUCAUACAGUGUAUCUGAAUUGUAUCAGACCCACUUCUCAGUUUACACACUUGUUCCUGUCAGUGAGAGGCAGCUACUGAAAAAUGUUGCAGACCUUGGGAGCCUGUCUCUGUGUGAUUCGAUGAAAGUACUGGGGAUUUUGUGUGUUCAACAUGAUGUUAAUUCUAUUGUGUUUCAUAAUGAAAAAAAAAAAAGCUUAGUCCACUAGUAUAACACCAGUAGCUCUGUUUUAUGCUGUGACUUCUAAAUUCCCACUGUCACGGUGUUUGGCAGUUCGAAAUUUUGGUUUUAUUUUUGUUCAAAAUUUUGAGGAAUGAGUAAAAUUCAUAUUUUUUAAAAAAAAUAGAUAAACUGGUGUAAAAUAAUCUUGACCAGCUUAAUUAAGUUGUGCCUUUUUCCUUUCACUUUUGUGCAUUACAUUUUCAUAUGUGGAGAGUAUAAAACUAUACGUUUCAGGAAGAAAACAUUUAAACAACAAAAUUAAAGAACUGGUCAGUUUCUGCUGAAGUGGAUUUAUGUAUGUAUUUCUUCUAUUUUAUUUUCUCAUGAUUGUUUACUAUAUAACUGAAUUGUGUAACUGUUCCAGAAAUUCUUGACUCAGAAUGUGCUGCAGCCUGCUUUUUAGUUAAAACAUUUAUGUCACUGCUGACUGUCCAGCUGGUGUAGCUGAUGAAUAGGAGUUUGGGGCUCAUCAUCUUUUUUAAAAUUUCACAACCUCUUAUUUCUCAUUAACAGUAUGCUUCGUGGUUGCCAAACUUAUCCCGCCAAUCUCUCAAAGACCAGCAUAUUAUCACAUUACUCAAUAUAAUCUUUGCAUAGUUUCCAUAAUGAUGCUCUAUGUGAAAGUAAUCUCAAAACUUGAGUUUGGGGCCAUAUUCGGCAAAGAUGCAAAAAGAAUAUGGACUCACCUUCACAUUUCUUAAUGCAGGGGAGUCUGGUGAAAAGUUGACCCAAAUUCAUUCAGCCUCAGUCAGAUUUUACAAAUGCCCCUCAACUGUGGUGGUUUAUUUAUGAAAAAAGCCAAAGACCACUCUUUUCAGAAGAAUCGUGUAGUCUUUAAUGGCCAGACAGCCUUUGGAGUGAAUUGGUUUUCAACAUUAAGGUUUUAAUUUCUCCAUGGGUCAACACUGAGUCCUUUUAAGAGUAGGUCAAGUAUUAAGGUGCUUUUUUUGAAUUGCACACGCUGCUUUGUAGUCAGAAAAGAAAUAGAACAGACUUUUGAAAAUUAAAUGCAAGUUAAUUGUUUUCUACUAAUCUUUUAAUUUUUUUAAUAAAGGAUUAAGCUUUUUUAGCUGCAUAGACUGU